Molecule: small nucleolar RNA, 72 nt
Organism: Cephalotus follicularis
Lineage: Eukaryota; Viridiplantae; Streptophyta; Magnoliopsida; Oxalidales; Cephalotaceae
Rfam family: Small nucleolar RNA Z105
About the family: This family consists of several snoRNA Z105 sequences which are members of the C/D class of snoRNA which contain the C (UGAUGA) and D (CUGA) box motifs.
Source: Rfam
CUGGCACGAUGAGGAUGAAAGAUUUACAGUCUGAUUCAUUUGAUGAUUCGAAUCACCUCCUACUCAUUCUGA